This 447-nucleotide ribosomal RNA is filed under the name uncultured bacterium. Its description in RNAcentral is "bacterial SSU rRNA". It matches the Rfam family "Bacterial small subunit ribosomal RNA", at positions 329 to 793 of the family's 1533-position model. The record is from RNAcentral.
UUCCAGACUCCUACGGGAGGCAGCAGUGGGGAAUAUUGCACAAUGGGGGGAACCCUGAUGCAGCGACGCCGCGUGGGUGAAGAAGCGCCUCGGCGCGUAAAGCCCUGUCAGCAGGGAAGAAAAUGACGGUACCUGAAGAAGAAGCCCCGGCUAACUACGUGCCAGCAGCCGCGGUAAUACGUAGGGGGCAAGCGUUAUCCGGAUUUACUGGGUGUAAAGGGGGCGCAGACGGCGAUGCAAGCCAGGAGUGAAAGGCAGGGGCAUAACCCCUGGACUGCACUGGGAACUGUCAGGCUGGAGUGCCGGAGGGGUAAGCGGAAUUCCUGGUGUAGCGGUGAAAUGCGUAGAUAUCAGGAGGAACACCGGCGGCGAAGGCGGCUUACUGGACGGCAACUGACGUUGAGGCCCGAAAGCGUGGGGAGCGAACAGGAUUAGAUACCCGUGUAA